CAGAGUACCUGGAAUUACAGUCUAAAGAAGAGGGAGGAGCAGUCUGAUAAUCCGGAGGAGCAAGACUGGCCCAAAGCACUUUCCUUGAUUAGUGGAGACAUUCUGGAGGAGGAGCCAAGCUCUGGGCUAAAGUUUACAGGACUCCCAGCGGUUCCUCUUACAG
This 163-nucleotide non-coding RNA is filed under the name Pongo abelii (Sumatran orangutan). Lineage: Eukaryota; Metazoa; Chordata; Mammalia; Primates; Hominidae. The record is from RNAcentral.